AUGGCCACCGGAGGUAUAACCAUAGAAACCAUACCAGAGGAACUUCCACUUGACUUUCUGAAGAAAAUUACGAAUAACUUCUCCAGCGACAGUGAUCAUCUGAUUGGAACAGGAUCAUUUGGGUCAGUUUAUAGGGGGUUUCUGGAUAAUGGCGAGGUGAUUGCUGUGAAGAAACUCGGGGAAGAAUCACCUGUGCCACGUGACAAAGUAUUUGCAAAUGAGGUUAAGAAUAUUAUGGUGCUCGAACAUGAAAAUAUUGUCAAGUUGAUAGCAUACUGCUAUGACACAAACAACAGAUUGGUGCUGAGCAAUGGAAGACACAUUAUUGCAGAGAUUACUGAAACUUUACUCUGCUAUGAAUACUUAGCUAAGGGCGGCCUCGACAAGAAUCUUUUCGGUGAACCCAGUAUUGACUGGGAUACACGGUUCAAAAUAAUAAAGGGGAUUUGUGAAGGUGUACAUUUUAUACAUACCUUACCUAGUCCCAUUCUCCAUUUGGGUCUGAAGACUCAAAAUAUAUUGCUGGAUGACAACUUGACACCAAAACUUUCGGAUUUUGGAUUCGCCAGAAUAUUUGGGGAAGAAUACACCCGAAUAAACACAAGAAGUGUUGUGGGACAUGUUGGAUACAUGGCCCCAGAGUAUCUAUAUAAUGGUGAAAUCUCGGCCCGUUCGGACAUAUAUAGUUUAGGCCUAAUUAUAUUGGAGAUCUGCACGAAAGAGAAGAAUAGUUCCAGCACUGACCAGAAGCAUGCAAGGAAAUAUAUUGACGGGGUAAAAAAACAUUGGUUCCAAAUAGAACAAAUAAUGGCCGAGUAUUCCGAUUUAGAAGAACAUUGUUUUGACCAAAUAGAAGGCUGCAUACAUAUUGGACUAGAAUGUGUGGAGCUUGAUCAGAAGAAGAGACCUUCCAUAGAGCACAUUGUGAACAAGCUCAAUAAUCUCCCAACUGAGAAUAGUUAA
Molecule: ribosomal RNA, 963 nt
Filed under: Triticum aestivum (bread wheat)
Lineage: Eukaryota; Viridiplantae; Streptophyta; Magnoliopsida; Poales; Poaceae
Description: partial small subunit ribosomal RNA
Source: RNAcentral